RNAcentral lists this transfer RNA (85 nucleotides) under Crocinitomix sp. RNAcentral describes it as "tRNA-Ser". It matches the Rfam family "tRNA". From Rfam's summary of the family: Transfer RNA (tRNA) molecules are approximately 80 nucleotides in length. Their secondary structure includes four short double-helical elements and three loops (D, anti-codon, and T loops). Lineage: Bacteria; Pseudomonadati; Bacteroidota; Flavobacteriia; Flavobacteriales; Crocinitomicaceae. RNAcentral also lists the same sequence under 1 other name. The record is from RNAcentral.
GGAGAGGUGGCAGAGUGGCUGAACGCGCACGCUUGGAAAGCGUGUUCAUGGUAACAUGACGGGGGUUCGAAUCCCCCUCUCUCCG